This is a long non-coding RNA of Anolis carolinensis (green anole), 2563 nucleotides long. NCBI's taxonomy places the organism in Eukaryota, Metazoa, Chordata, Lepidosauria, Squamata, Anolidae. The record is from Ensembl.
UCUCUCCAUCUCUCCGUGAGAGUGGUUUGUCUGAGUAGAAACCCAACACUCAUUCAGUCAAAAAGAAUCCUGGAUGCUCGAAUAAAACUUCCGUAUUUUGUCUACUUAAAUCAGGGGUCCCCAAACUUUUUAAACAGGGGGCCAGUUCACGAUCCUUUGGACCGUUGGAGGGCCGGACUAUAUUUGGCCACUGAGCAAUAAUAAUAAUAAUAAUAAUAAUAAUAAUAAUAAUAAUAAUAAUAAUAAUAAUAAUAAUAAAAGAGGGUUGGAAGAGACCCCUUGAGCCAUUGAGUCCAACCCCCUUCUGCCUUUGUGCACCGAAAGCACAAGCAAAGCACCCCUGGCAGAUGGCCACCCAGCCUCAAUGUUGCUAAUAAUAAUAAUAAUAAUAAUAAUAAUAAUAAUAAUAAUAAUAAUAAUAAUAAUGGUUGUAAGAGAAGAAGAGACCCCUUGGGUCAUUUAGUCCAACCCCCUUCUGCCCUUGUGCCGUGGGGGCCGGAUAAACAGCUUCGAUGGGCCGCAUCCGGCCCCCGGGCCUUAGUUUGGGGACCCCUGACUUAAAUCUUCUCUAAGGGUUUAGCAUUUUGGAAUAACUGGAUAUUUGGCCCCGAGCCGGCUGUGUGCAUCCGUUGGACCCCUGUCUUUGGGUUCCUUCCAAGAAAGUCAGCCGGGAAAGACGGGAGGCCGAAUAUUAAUAGCGAACUCUCUGUGGAGCGACGAUGGAUGCGUUCUCACCUGGGACCUUUGCAACGAGACAUCUUUAUGACAAGCCGUGAUAUUCAAUUUACCAAAGGCAGGCCUGGCUGCUGUUCAUUGCCGGUUAAUAACUGAAAAUUGAUUGGAAAGGGAGGUCAAGGUGGCUUGCAGAGCCGAGCAGAAACUAAUGGAGAGUGCUGUUCAGGAAAUGCACACCGGCUGAGUUUUAUGAGGUUGCGAGGAGUCUUUGCUUUCAUAUUUACUGUUACCAUUGCUUUGGAGAAAGAAGGAAAGAAACAUUCCCUAAUAUGCCGAAUCUCUAGAAAAGGAAGACUGAAACUCAUAGAGCUGGACAGAAACCUCCAAACACGAGCUGAAGUCUUUGAAGAUGCCAAGAUUAAAGAUGGUGUUUCUUGGAAGGGGAGAGGAAUUCAUAGGAGUUGUAGUCCAACAAGAUCUGGAAGGUUAGACUUUACUUUUGUAAUGACCUAAAACCGUCCAAAGAGAUAAGAAUUCUUUCCCGCUCAAGUUCUAAUCUUUCGUAAGGUAUUUAUUCUAAAAGUGACCAGUCCGUUUACUUCAAUCCACUACCAUUAUUCUCUUUCAAUAGAAAUGUUAGUUUGUCCAUAUCUAUUACAGUAGAGUCUCACUUAUCCAACAUAAACGGGCCGGCAGAAUGUUGGAUAAGCGAAUAUGUUGGAUAAUAAGGAGGCAUUAAGUAAAAACCUAUUAAACAUCAAAUUAGGUUAUGAUUUUAUAAAUGAAGCACCAAAACAUCAUGUUAGACAACAAAUUUGUCUAAGUAGUUCAAUACGCAGUAAUGUUAUGUAGUAAUUACUCUAUUUAUGAAUUUAGCACCAAAAUAUCACAAUAUAUUGAAAACAUUGACUACAAAAAUGUGUUGGAUAAUCCAGAACGUUAGAUAAGCGAGUGUUGUAUAAGUGAGACUCUACUGUAUUUCCAUUAUUUUAAUGAUCCAGUCUUUCGUGUCAGGAAUAGUAUCCUGUUUCCAUUGUUUGGCGAAGACUAUCCUCGCCGCUGUUGCAAAAAAAAGUAAUCAGUUUGUCCAUAUUUCAAUCUGCAAAUAACUCCGAAUUGAACAUGCCGAGAAGAUAAUAUUUCGGUUUCGUUGGGAAGGUUUUUUAAAGGAUUUUUUUGACAUUUGACAUGAAUUUUUUCCAGUAAUUCGACGAUUCUUUACAUGUCCACCAUAAAUGGAAGAAUGUACAGUAGAGUCUCACUUAUCCAACAUUCGCUUAUCCAAUGUUCUGGAUUAUCCAACACAUUUUUGUAGUCAAUGUUUUUAAUACAUCGUAAUAUUUUGGUGCUAAAUUCAUAAAUACAGUGAUUACUACUUAGCAUUACUGCAUAUUGAACUACUUUUUCUGCCAAAUUUGUUGUAUAACAUGAUGUUUUGGUGCUUAAUUUGUAAAAUCAUAACCUAAUUUGAUGUUUAAUUGGCUUCUCCUUAAUCUCUCCUUAUUAUCCAACAUAUUCGCUUAUCCAACGUUCUGCUGGCCCGUUUAUGUUGGAUAAGUGAGACUCUACUGUACCUUGAUUUACCUUACACUUCCAACAUUUAUUGUCCAUAUUCUUGUACAUUCUUCCAAGUUUUGCCGGAGUCAUGUACCAGCAAUGCAUCAUUUUGAAAUAAUUUUCUUUUAGAUCAGUGGCAUAUGUAUAUUUUAAUUUCCUUAACCAAAUUUCUUAACCAAAUUUCAAAGUCUUACAGGAGGAGGAAGAAUGGAAGCAACCGAAUACCCUUUCCCCAUUUUUUUAAUUUUUCCCCCUUCUUUUCUCUCUCUUCUCUUUCUCUUUUUCCUACUUUUCUGUACUUACCGUAUAUACUCGAGUAUAAGCCGACUUG